RNAcentral lists this unclassified non-coding RNA (253 nucleotides) under uncultured Gemmatimonadota bacterium. Its description in RNAcentral is "uncultured Gemmatimonadetes bacterium contains 16S-23S intergenic spacer region". It matches the Rfam family "Bacterial small subunit ribosomal RNA", at positions 524 to 776 of the family's 1533-position model. Lineage: Bacteria; Pseudomonadati; Gemmatimonadota. The record is from RNAcentral.
GACGGAGGGCGCAAGCGUUGUUCGGAAUUACUGGGCGUAAAGCGCGCGCAGGCGGGGCGGGAAGUCGGAGGUGAAAGUCCGGGGCUCAACCCCGGGACGCCCUCCGAAACUCCCGCUCUGGGGACCGGUAGAGGCCGGUGGAAUUCCCGGAGUAGCGGUGGAAUGCGUAGAGAUCGGGAAGAACACCCGUGGCGAAGGCGACCGGCUGGGCCGGAUCCGACGCUGAGGCGCGAAAGCGUGGGGAGCAAACAGG